UGCUGUGAGUAGCGAACCGGAGGACGGACGGCCCCUCUCCCGCCCCCUGGCUUCCCGCUUCCCCAGGCAACCAAUCAAUCAGAAGCGCGCGAGAUUCAAAUGGCAUAGGCGCCAAGAAAAGAAAAUGGGUGGGGCAACAGGGUGGCUUCCUCUAGACUAGAGAACUGGACUGUAACUCCAGCAGAGGCCAGAGGGCGCCGCCCUACCAAAAGUUCCCUAUUCCAUUUUGACUUUACCCAUCCACGUACUACAGGAGGCCUUUCUAGUCUUCCUCAAAGACCAGUCUUUUCCUCUCAUUCUUCACAUCUACUUCUUAAGAUUUUAGAGACAAAAGAGUAAUUAUCCCUCCCAAUCUUCAACAUCACCACCAGAAAAAGUAGCCUCCAACAGAGGUACAGCACAGAAACCCCUAGAUCACCAAUUCUGCUUCUAGUCUAACCCUCAAAACCAACCAGGAAAGCAACUCCUGUGGACAAGAGGCCAGCAGUCCCCAACAAGUACUACAUAUAAGGCUGGCAAACCUGCUUAGGUGAAGCAGAAAGGCACCUGGAACAAGACCUGGGAGAUAUAAUGUACAGAGCAAGUGUAACUACUAAUAUCCCCACUCAGACCCUGAUGGAAACAAUUCAGAACUGUGUGAACACAAGAGCUUUGGAAUGGCAAUGAUUCCAGCCCUAUGCCCUCAGUCAUCAUCCAGAGUAGCAACUUUUGUGGAGAUGUAGCUUGGAAAUUGUUCCUGUAGGUGCUGCAGUCACAGUUACUGAUGCCAGAAAAGAAAGUUCUUGCCAGCAAAUUCCUUGGCACUGCCAAAUGGUUCAACAUCAGAAAUUGAUGAUUUUUCAGUGGAAGAAAUAUUAAAAAUGAGGCAUAACCAUUUCCUUUGCAGUUGCAACCUAAGAACCAUGGGACUUUUCUCUGAUUUACAACCAAAACAUUCCAUUUUUGCGUUGUUUCCUCUAGUAGAAUGUGAGCUCCUUCAAAGCAAGAACUGUGACUUUUCCAUUUAUAUUCCCAGUUCUUAGUACAAUGCUUUGUACAUAGUAAGCACUUAAUCAUUCAUUUAUUCAAUCAAUCAAUCAAUCAUUCUUCUCAGUGGCAGUCCUAGACAAGUGGCUGGCUGUCGUUUUAUUGAACACUUCCAGUGAUCGGGGAGUUCACUACUUGUUGAAAUGGUCCAGUCCAUUUAUGGAUAGCUUUGAUAAAAGAAAAGGUACCUGGGCACACGGUGGCGUGGACAAGGGAUGAUAUGUAGAAGUUGUGGAAGGGAGUAGAGGAAGUUGAACACCUGAGGCAUGAAGAAGAGUAACAUUGUCUUGCUGAAGUGCCCCAGGAUGCCCACCACAGCAAAGGUCAUGCCUGCAAAGUAGCAGAAAGUGUCGCCCACAAACACCUGGGAUGGGUACCUAUGAGAAAGAAGUGACCUGAGGCAGGAGCAACAGAAUUCCCCAAAGUACUGUCCUCUCUUAUCUUCCCUUCUAUAUUCAAAACUUACCUUCAAGCUCUACAAGAUUGAAGAUAAUAAUGGAGGCAGAAAUGACCAGAGACUGUCCAGCCUCCAGCCCAUUGAUUCCUGCU
Non-coding RNA from Monodelphis domestica (gray short-tailed opossum), 1575 nucleotides. The record is from RefSeq and is a predicted model, not a curated record. Lineage: Eukaryota; Metazoa; Chordata; Mammalia; Didelphimorphia; Didelphidae.